Non-coding RNA from Loxodonta africana (African savanna elephant), 47 nucleotides. The record is from Rfam. Lineage: Eukaryota; Metazoa; Chordata; Mammalia; Proboscidea; Elephantidae.
AAAAAAGAUUUUUUUAAAUCUACAACACGUUUACCAAACAGUUAAAG